Vicugna pacos (alpaca) is the source of this 1705-nucleotide non-coding RNA. The record is from RefSeq and is a predicted model, not a curated record. Lineage: Eukaryota; Metazoa; Chordata; Mammalia; Artiodactyla; Camelidae.
AUUGUCAUAAUUUCUAGUCACUGUUCAGAGCCACUGAUUAAUAUCUUUAUUGACACACGUUUGGAAAAAACCCUCAAAAGCCACAGCAGGACUGCUAUAGGCCAAAUGUCUGCGCACCCUCAAAUUCACAUGUUGAAACCUAACCCCCGAUAUGAUUGUAUUUGGAGGGAGGGUCUGUGGGAGGUGAAUGGGUCAUGAGGGUGGGGCCCUCCUGUAUGAGAUUGGUGUCUUUGUAAGAAGAGCUCACUUGUCCUUCUUCUGCCAGGUGAGGGCAGCGAGAGAGAGAGAACCCCAUCUCUGAAGCAGGAAGUGGGCCCUCACCAGACACUGACUACGUGCACACCUCCAUCUUGGACUUCCCAGCCUCCAGAACUGUGAGAAAUAAAUCUAUAAACCACUCAGUCAGUGGCAUUUUUGUUUUAGAAGCGCAAGCCGACCAAGCAAGGACCUUUACAUAUUCUUUGGCUUACCCAGGACCCCAGGAGGGGAUGGAAGUGCACCAUCCUCCGGGUGCACAGAUGCCUUCACCAACCUGGAAGCCGGCAGGUGGGGAGCUGAAAAAUCCAACCCUCUAAAUCACACAGUUGCUUACUGGGGCAGCCAGCCCCCAGCCUGAGACCCAGCGAGAGUCACCCCAUUAGCAUCAACUCUGCUCGAUAAUUGGAAAUCCUCCACCCUCACCUGUAUCUGAUGCUCUGGACGUUGGACAAUGGUUUGCAGGACAGAGGACCAAUGUCAAGCCAGAACUGACUAACCUGAGGGGACCAUAUAAGAUAGCAGAGCCAAGCAUUACCACUAGAAUACUUCAAUGUAAUAAGCAGCCGAGUGUGUGAGUGAAAAAUAUUGCCCACUGUAUCAGUAAAUAAAGGAUGUUGCAGCCAUCAAGCCACCACACUGCAAUGUUUCCAUUUCCCCCAAACAGUGAGCCCUGAGGGAACUCAGGAUAGAAACCAGAUGCCCCGCCAUCUAGCAGUCAGCCUCUGCAGCCUCCCCCAGCGGUGCCGCCUGAGGGGACUCAGGAUGGGAAGGCACAGGACACUGGCCCUGGAGAGCCAAGGUACAGAUCACAGGAGUGAUUUCAAUGAGCCCAGACCUCUGCGUCUUCCCGUAGGUAGAAAAUCAUUAAACUCCUUAACUUGCAAAUAUCUGGUUUUCUUUAAUUAAUAGUAAUCUUUUGACGUUCCGACUACCUGGUCUUUGUUGCAAAAACUCUUAUACAUCCUGGCUUCUCCUCUGCCUCUUUGGAACAGUAACUCAGAGGAAUCUGAGAGGCCGCACCUCCCAGACUUGAAGUCCCCAGAAAAGUCCGCCGAAUCCACUGAGUAAAACGUAAUUAUCAACUUUUAGGCUGUGCUUUUUUUUUUUUUUAAUCAGUGGACAAGUGAUUGAAGUUCGUUCUGUUCCAGCACGAUUUAUAUAAUGCAGUCAGGUCUGGUGAAAAUGUAACAGGAGCCACAAAUGCAAGCCACAUGUGUAAUUUAAAAUUUUCUAGUGGCCACGUUUUAAACAACCGAAAAGAAACAGAUGAAAUUAAAUGUGAUGAAUUGUAUUUAGUUCAGUUCAGGCAGACCUCAUUUUAACGCUGUGUUAGUUUUCGUUGCGUGGAUAGUAACAGGCUAGUCUAGAUACGCUGAGAUCACAUUUGGAGCUAAUCCUAGCAUUGUCCACAUUGAAGCUACCAAUGUGCAAUUAAUAAAAAAAAAAA